Zootermopsis nevadensis is the source of this 2988-nucleotide non-coding RNA. NCBI's taxonomy places the organism in Eukaryota, Metazoa, Arthropoda, Insecta, Blattodea, Termopsidae. The record is from RefSeq and is a predicted model, not a curated record.
UAAAGUUGUGCAGACAGUGUUAAUGCUAUAUGUUGUGCAUUAAAAACGUAACAGAAUGCACCAAUAUCAAAUUAUGCUCAUAUGUCUGUUGGUUUCUUUAGGGCUAUGCACUGUGUGUGCUGGAUUAUGAGUUCCAAAUUUUGGACAACGCAUUCCUAGUGCACAAACCAGGUAUCAAGACAAUGAAGAAGGAUCCACAGAGGGCCAUGUUGGCCGGGAAAACCAAUGCACUCAUAAGGAAAGUGAUAUUCCCUGAACUGAAGGUGCUGUAUGGCUCCAGGAAAGGCUGUGCAGUUUGACCAAGGGAGACAACACCCAGCAGUAAAACCUCAUACAGGUGACUGUUGAGUCCAUCAACGUACUUAAUCUUAUUGUGCCAUGUUGCUUAGCAUUAAACUUCAUAUGGCAUGAAACUUGUAAUGAUAUCUGUGUUGUUAUUAUUGUAUUGGAAGGACAGCUGGUGGCAAGCUUUUUAUAGUUUUAAUCAAUUUGUUAGUUGUAAGACUUAUCAUUUAGUUUUCUUCCUUCAUAAUGGUUUAUUUUAAACAAGAUUUGACCGGGUCUUGACAGAAUAUGCUCGCUUUAUUCCCGAGUUCUCAGUCUGUAUUAUCAGAUGUCUCCCAAAAUAAUUUGUUUUAUUCCGAGAUUAGAUAUUCUGACAAAGAUGAAAAUGAUAUAACAUUUUGGAAGAACUUUCCACUCCAUACAAGUGGGAUCAUUGCAGGUAUUACAAUAGUAUGAGAAUCAAUUUGAACAGGCAUCGUUGGUCUUUGCCGUAGUUGAUUAAUUAUUUGCAUUAGAAUAUUAGGUUGGCAGUGUUUGUGAUGUAUUACUGUGCAGGGAGGGAAUUGAGGAACACAGUGACAUGCUCUCCUUUCAGAACUUCAUUUAAGUUUAUAAAUUAAAAAAAAUUUUGAAGGUGAAGGGGACAUAGAUUUACUCCAUGUACGUUCAAUUCAGAUAUUUAUACAAUAGAAAUUUCCAGUUGAUUUUCAGUUCAUUACCAAUAUUUAUGAAGCCCAGGACAUUUUAUGCAUCCUGUAAAUCCAUCCCAACGUACACACCUAAAAAGACAAAAUUCACACCGUGACAAGAAUAUAAAUAUUUUAAAAAUUUUCAAAUAUCGUUGCACAUUUUGAAAUACACUGGAUUGAAGACUAAUAUAGAUUUGUAUUGUGAAAAUUAAUUAUGUUUUUUCUAGCUGACACAGACAUAUACUGUGUUAUUCAGAUAAUAAUAUUCUUCUUCUUCUUGUAGCGUUAUAACCCUAUGUGGGUCUUGGCUUGUUCGACGAGUUUUUUCCAUUCUGUCCUAUCAUUCACAAUUCUUCUCCAUCCCCUCACUCCGAUCAUCCUCACAUCAUCCUCCUUGUCAUCUAUCCAUCGUUUCCGUGGUCUUCCCUCUCAUUCUUCUUCCCAUCGGUCUCCAUUCCAUCACUUUUCUGUUUCCUUUCAUUCUUGCAAUGUGGCCAAGCCAGGCUAACCUUUUGCUUUUGAUCAGCCUCACAAUAUCUGCUCCCUGUAUGAUACAAUCUAGUUCAUGAUUCAUCCUAAUUCUCUAGGAGCCAUCAAAUUAUUAAUAUUCCUAUACAAUUAAAAUAAUAGCACGUGUAUUUACGCCCAAACAUUAUGAGGCAGUAACUGAUGCAGAUUACAUUUACAAAUAAAACAUUAACAUGUGAUUUUUCAAAAAGGAAAAUGGUUCCAAGUAAUGAUUGCCAUUUCACUGAACAGUAAAUCUGACAUUUAUUAACUCAGUACAAGCCUCAGUCUAUAUACACUGCAGCUCUGUAAGUCGGGUGGAUACAAAGUAUUUAUCUUCCAAUAGUGAAAAGAAAAUUUCAAAUCUAUGUUUAAAUAAUAAUGUAAUUCCAGAGUUAUUCUAAAUAUUCUUCCAGGCCAGACUUCAAGUGCAUGAAAUCAUUUGUUUGUUUUUAUUGGAUUUGAUUGGGUUAAUAUCAAGGUUUUCUUUUUUCUAGUCUUAAUGGAAUAAAAGUAUAGAAAAUUUCACACAUUUCUAGAAAAGUUGUGACACGUUGAAACUAGAUGAAACACUUGAAUGCAAAGUUGAUAGAAUUGAUUCUGUGUGAAUGUUCAAUAUUGGUGCCAUUACAAACAGUAGAGAACAGAGAUAUAAUUAAGGUACUGAACAUGUCGGGAUUGUGCGAUGGUUACAAAGUCAACUCGGAAUUCACAGCAGUAUUUCAGAAUAGUUCCGAGUUCUUCAAACCAACGCGUACAUUGCGUCAUGAAGAACGCGUGCCUUAUCAUCUUUUCCGAUCCUACCUUUCUAAAGAGUAUGUACAAGAGAUUUAGUCUCUAGGAAGUAGAGUUUGGUCUCUAGAUGUGGAAUAGGUAGUAGGAAUGAUUUUUUUUAAUAAUUUAAUCUUUGGUUUCUAGAAUAAUUUUUAUAUAGGCAUAGCUGAGGCCCCACUCCUCAAAUAUUGUUUUGUUCCUCUUCAGUAUUGCAUAUUUUUUCUUGAAGUUCUAAUAAUAUUUAUUAGACAUUAUAAUGUUACAUAUUUAAUUUAUCCUUGAAUAUGACUUUUCUUACUUGAACUUUAUCUGUUUUUCUUAUGAUAUGAGCAUUACGUCUGGUUUUGAAAGGAAUAGUUUAUGAAAUUGUAUGAUUCUUGUUAAUGGAAGUGCUGAAGGGUUUGGACAGAAAACGGUAAGCUGCGCACACGUCGUAGGCUUCAGUUUCAGUAUUAUGAACGUGUGAUGUACAGCAGGGGUGAAUUUGUACCCGUAGCCCAUCAGUGCUUCUCAAACUAUUUUUCUAUAGUUUCUUUAUAUGCUACCAGAUGUUCUCACAGGCAGUAGGAUCAUAUACUGUAUAAACAACUCGGUAAAUUCAUUUCAGUUCAGUUUAUAUGUUUUUAAACCUGGCAUGUAUUUUGAUUAAUAAUAACUUAGGAAUCUUGUGUUAUAAAUGUAAGUUUUAGCAUAAGCAGAAUAGUGAAGACAAAUAUAUUUUUACAUUCUGGUA